RNAcentral lists this ribosomal RNA (2903 nucleotides) under Lysobacter sp. N42. RNAcentral's name for it is "23S ribosomal RNA". It matches the Rfam family "Bacterial large subunit ribosomal RNA". The record is from RNAcentral. Lineage: Bacteria; Pseudomonadati; Pseudomonadota; Gammaproteobacteria; Lysobacterales; Lysobacteraceae.
GUUGUAUGGUUAAGUGACUAAGCGUACACGGUGGAUGCCUUGGCAGUUGGAGGCGAUGAAGGACGUACUAACUUGCGAUAAGCCUAGUUGAGCUAGUAAGAAGCACUUGAGACUAGGAUUUCCGAAUGGGGAAACCCAGUGGAUUUAUCCACUAUCUUUAACUGAAUACAUAGGUUAAAGAGGCGAACGAGGGGAACUGAAACAUCUAAGUACCCUUAGGAAAAGAAAUCAACCGAGAUUCCGUAAGUAGCGGCGAGCGAACGCGGAUUAGCCCUUAAGUUUGAUAAGAUGCAGUGGAACACUCUGGAAAGUGUGGCGAUAGAGGGUGACAGCCCCGUACACGAAGUGUGUUAUCAAAUGAAAUCGAGUAGGUCGGGACACGUGUUAUCUUGACUGAAUAUGGGGGGACCAUCCUCCAAGGCUAAAUACUCCCAACUGACCGAUAGUGAACCAGUACCGUGAGGGAAAGGCGAAAAGAACCCCUGUGAGGGGAGUGAAAUAGAACCUGAAACCGUGUACGUACAAGCAGUAGGAGCACCUUCGUGGUGUGACUGCGUACCUUUUGUAUAAUGGGUCAGCGACUUACAUUUUGUGGCGAGGUUAACCGAAUAGGGUAGCCGUAGGGAAACCGAGUCUUAACUGGGCGUCCAGUCGCAAGGUGUAGACCCGAAACCGGGCGAUCUAGCCAUGGGCAGGUUGAAGGUUGAGUAACAUCAACUGGAGGACCGAACUCACUAAUGUUGAAAAAUUAGGAGAUGACCUGUGGCUCGGAGUGAAAGGCUAAUCAAGCCCGGAGAUAGCUGGUUCUCCCCGAAAUCUAUUUAGGUAGAGCCUUGGACGAAUACCAUUGGGGGUAGAGCACUGUUUGGGCUAGGGGGUCAUCCCGACUUACCAACCCCAUGCAAACUCCGAAUACCAAUGAGUACUAUCCAGGAGACACACGGCGGGUGCUAACGUUCGUCGUGGAGAGGGAAACAACCCAGACCGCCAGCUAAGGUCCCCAAGUUAUGGUUCAGUGGGAAACGAUGUGGGAAGGCAUAGACAGCUAGGAGGUUGGCUUAGAAGCAGCCAUCCUUUAAAGAAAGCGUAAUAGCUCACUAGUCGAGUCGGCCUGCGCGGAAGAUGUAACGGGGCUAAACCAUACACCGAAGCUGCGGCAGUAGUUUUACUACUGGGUAGGGGAGCGUUGUGUAAGCUGUUGAAGGUGUGUCGAGAGGCAUGCUGGAGGUAUCACAAGUGCGAAUGCUGACAUGAGUAACGAUAAUGGGGGUGAAAAACCCCCACGCCGGAAGACCAAGGGUUCCUAUCCCAUGCUAAUCAGGGUAGGGUAAGUCGGCCCCUAAGGCGAGGCUGAAAAGCGUAGUCGAUGGGAAACGGGUUAAUAUUCCCGUACCGAUGUAUAUUGCGAUGGGGAGACGGAGAAGGCUAGGUAAGCGCGGCGUUGGUUGUCCGCGUGAAAGUGAGUAGGUUGAGAGUUUAGGCAAAUCCGGACUCUUAAGACUGAGACACGAGACGAGACUCUACGGAGUCGAAGUUAUUGAUGCCCUGCUUCCAGGAAAAUCCUCUAAGCUUCAGAUAUGCACGACCGUACCCGAAACCGACACAGGUGGUCAGGUAGAGAAUACUAAGGCGCUUGAGAGAACUCGGGUGAAGGAACUAGGCAAAAUAGUACCGUAACUUCGGGAGAAGGUACGCCGCUGUUGGUGAUGAGCUUUACGCUCUAAGCUGAUAGCGGUCGCAGUGACCAGGUGGCUGGGACUGUUUAUUAAAAACACAGCACUCUGCAAACUCGAAAGAGGACGUAUAGGGUGUGACACCUGCCCGGUGCCGGAAGGUUAAUUGAUGGGGUUAGCGUAAGCGAAGCUCUUGAUCGAAGCCCCGGUAAACGGCGGCCGUAACUAUAACGGUCCUAAGGUAGCGAAAUUCCUUGUCGGGUAAGUUCCGACCUGCACGAAUGGUGUAACCAUGGCCACGCUGUCUCCACCCGAGACUCAGUGAAAUUGAAAUCGCUGUGAAGAUGCAGUGUACCCGCGGCUAGACGGAAAGACCCCGUGAACCUUUACUACAGCUUGGCACUGAACAUUGAACCUACAUGUGUAGGAUAGGUGGGAGGCUUUGAAGCAUUGUCGCUAGAUGAUGUGGAGCCGCCCUUGAAAUACCACCCUUGUAUGUUUGAUGUUCUAACUUAGUCCCCUUAUCGGGGAUGAGGACAGUGUCUGGUGGGUAGUUUGACUGGGGCGGUCUCCUCCCAAAGAGUAACGGAGGAGCACGAAGGUUGGCUAAGUACGGUCGGACAUCGUACGGUUAGUGCAAAGGCAUAAGCCAGCUUAACUGCGAGACAGACACGUCGAGCAGGUGCGAAAGCAGGUCUUAGUGAUCCGGUGGUUCUGAAUGGAAGGGCCAUCGCUCAACGGAUAAAAGGUACUCCGGGGAUAACAGGCUGAUACCGCCCAAGAGUUCAUAUCGACGGCGGUGUUUGGCACCUCGAUGUCGGCUCAUCACAUCCUGGGGCUGAAGUCGGUCCCAAGGGUAUGGCUGUUCGCCAUUUAAAGUGGUACGCGAGCUGGGUUUAGAACGUCGUGAGACAGUUCGGUCCCUAUCUGCCGUGGGCGUUUGAGAAUUGAGAGGGGUUGCUCCUAGUACGAGAGGACCGGAGUGAACGAACCGCUGGUGUUCGGGUUGUCAUGCCAAUGGCACUGCCCGGUAGCUACGUUCGGAAUCGAUAACCGCUGAAAGCAUCUAAGCGGGAAGCGAGCCUCGAGAUGAGUUCUCACAGGACUUUAAGUCCCUGAAGGGUUGUUUAAGACUAAGACGUUGAUAGGCAGGGUGUGGAAGCGCUGUAAGGCGUUGAGCUAACCUGUACUAAUUGCCCGUGCGGCUUAACCAUACAACACCGAAGCGGU